This 119-nucleotide ribosomal RNA is filed under the name Pteropus alecto (black flying fox). The record is from RNAcentral. Lineage: Eukaryota; Metazoa; Chordata; Mammalia; Chiroptera; Pteropodidae.
UGCUACGGCCAUGUCACCCUGAACAAGCCCGAUCCUGUCUGAUCUCAGAAGCUAAGCAGGGUCGGGCCUGGUUAGUACUUGGAUGGGAGACCACUUAGGAAGAUAAGGUGCUAUAGGCG